RNAcentral lists this transfer RNA (51 nucleotides) under Tribeles australis. RNAcentral describes it as "partial transfer RNA-Val". Lineage: Eukaryota; Viridiplantae; Streptophyta; Magnoliopsida; Escalloniales; Escalloniaceae. The record is from RNAcentral.
AGGGCUAUAGCUCAGUUUGGUAGAGCACCUCGUUUACACCGAGAAGGUCUA